CCCUUGAUGGCGGCCCUCCCUGAAAACGAGGACUCUAAAUUUCAACAUCAAAACGACCUUGUGAGGAAAAGGAAAAAAAAAAAAAGAAAUUGACGAAAGUGCCGAUGAAGCGUUUUACCCGGAGGUGUGAGCGCAUGCGCACUGCGCCUGGGGAAAGCAAGCCGACGUCUGGGCGAUGCUUUGCUUGGGCUACGAAAAUCAUCAUCAUGACAGCCAGAGACUCUACGGCUAAAUUCUUUAACCCUGCAUACCUACAACAGACAUGACUAAGGAAAGGACGACAGCUGUUAAAAAAGACUUCUGGCACAUGGGGAAGUGGAGCCAGGAGUCUCGCUCCGGGGGUCUGUCUGAAGGAUAUCUGCAAGGAAUGGAAGUGGAGCCGAACCCUGUCCACCUGCUCGUCUCUCCGGGGCUGCAUUUCUAAAAUGCAAAAGUUGCAGUCUCUAGAGCCAGUAGAACAUAUUUCAUUAGAUGAUUCAAGGGGAAGCAGUUCUGGUGACAGAAGUCAUCAGGCUAAAUCGGAACAAAUUCAAGGAGGCUCGAGCUUCAGAGAAACUAUGUACUAAUUCCAGCUCCCCUGAGUUACUGACCUACACUCCCUGUGCCUGCUUCUUCCCCUGCAAAAUCAAUCGAUCAUAUUUAUUGAGCACUUACUAUUUGCAGAGCACUGUACUAAGUGCUUGGGAGAGUACA
Long non-coding RNA from Ornithorhynchus anatinus (platypus), 693 nucleotides. RefSeq lists it as uncharacterized. Lineage: Eukaryota; Metazoa; Chordata; Mammalia; Monotremata; Ornithorhynchidae. The transcript has 3 exons. The record is from RefSeq and is a predicted model, not a curated record.